UACAGAGGUGGCAAGCGUUGUUCGGAAUUACUGGGCGUAAAGGGCGCGUAGGCGGCUUGGUCAGUCCCGUGUGAAAUCCCUCGGCUCAACUGAGGAACUGCACGGGAAACUGCCUGGCUUGAGUUCGGGAGAGGGAAGCGGAAUUCCGGGUGUAGCGGUGAAAUGCGUAGAUAUCCGGAGGAACACCGGUGGCGAAGGCGGCUUCCUGGACCGACACCGAAGCUGAGGCGCGAAAGCUAGGGGAGCAAACGGG
Molecule: ribosomal RNA, 253 nt
Filed under: uncultured bacterium
Lineage: Bacteria
Description: partial 16S ribosomal RNA
Rfam family: Bacterial small subunit ribosomal RNA
Source: RNAcentral